AGUGAACGCUGGCGGUAGGCCUAACACAUGCAAGUCGAACGGCAGCACAGUAAGAUCUUGCCCUUACGGGUGGCGAGUGGCGGACGGGUGAGGAAUACAUCGGAAUCUACUUUUUCUUGGGGGAUAACGUAGGGAAACUUACGCUAAUACAGCAUACGACCUACGGGUGAAAGCAGGGGAUCUUCGGACCUUGCGCGACUGAAUGAGCCGAUGUCGGAUUAGCUAGUUGGCGGGGUAAAGGCCCACCAAGGCGACGAUGCGUAGCUGGUCUGAGAGGAUGAUCGGCCACACUGGAACUGAGACACGGUCCAGACUCCUACGGGAGGCAGCAGUGGGGAAUAUUGGACAAUGGGCGCAAGCCUGAUCCAGCCAUACCGCGUGAGUGAAGAAGGCCUUCGGGUUGUAAAGCCCUUUUGUUGGGAAAGAAAAGAUGCAGGUUAAUCCCCCGCUGUUCUGACGGUACCCAAAGAAUAAGCACCGGCUAACUUCGUG
RNAcentral lists this ribosomal RNA (492 nucleotides) under uncultured bacterium. Its description in RNAcentral is "partial 16S ribosomal RNA". It matches the Rfam family "Bacterial small subunit ribosomal RNA", at positions 29 to 507 of the family's 1533-position model. The record is from RNAcentral.